UUAAAAAUAAUUAGAUUAAAUAUAUAUAAAAAAUAAAUUUAUCAAAUUUUACCUAUUAGACUUUGAUCUAAUAGUUGAAAUUUUACAUAUAAAUGAGUCUUUUUAUAAUUAAGCUCUCAUUUAUAUUUUUAUUUUGCUAAAAAUAAAAUAAUAAAAAUAUAUAUUAUAUAUAAUUAUUUAUUUAUAUAUAAAAAUAUAAAUUAAAUGAAUUAUAUAAAUAUAAAAUAUAUGUAUUCGAGCUGUUAUCGAGCCGAAUACGAGCGAGCUGACCCCAGCUCGUGUUCGGCUCGUUUAUUAAAUGAGCUGAAAAAUUCAGCUCGUGUUUGGCUCGUUUACUAAACGAGCGAGCCGAUCUCGAACUCAUUUCGAGCUAAACACAAGCUGACUCGCGAACAACGAGCUGGAUUGCCACCCCUACUCACAAGGAUAUG
RNAcentral lists this long non-coding RNA (431 nucleotides) under Ananas comosus (pineapple). RNAcentral's name for it is "long non-coding RNA (ACOM_LNC002454)". The record is from RNAcentral. Lineage: Eukaryota; Viridiplantae; Streptophyta; Magnoliopsida; Poales; Bromeliaceae.